Pangasius djambal is the source of this 73-nucleotide non-coding RNA. Lineage: Eukaryota; Metazoa; Chordata; Actinopteri; Siluriformes; Pangasiidae. The record is from the annotation of a GenBank genome assembly.
GGCAGUCGUAGCUCAGUGGUUAAGAUGUUGGACUACUGAUUGGAAGGUCAUGAGUUCAACUGCCAAGCUGCCA